This 472-nucleotide ribosomal RNA is filed under the name uncultured bacterium. Its description in RNAcentral is "bacterial SSU rRNA". It matches the Rfam family "Bacterial small subunit ribosomal RNA", at positions 355 to 825 of the family's 1533-position model. The record is from RNAcentral.
UGGGGAAUUUUGGACAAUGGGCGCAAGCCUGAUCCAGCCAUGCCGCGUGAGUGAAGAAGGCCUUCGGGUUGUAAAGCUCUUUCGGCGGGGACGAAACGGUCCGUGACAACACCACGGACUAAUGACGGUACUCGCAGAAGAAGCACCGGCUAACUACGUGCCAGCAGCCGCGGUAAUACGUAGGGUGCAGGCGUUAAUCGGAAUUACUGGGCGUAAAGCGUGCGCAGGCGGCUCCUUAAGUCAGAUGUGAAAUCCCCGGGCUUAACCUGGGAACUGCGUUUGAAACUGGGGAGCUAGAGUGUGGAAGAGGGGGGUGGAAUUCCAGGUGUAGCAGUGAAAUGCGUAGAUAUCUGGAGGAACACCGAUGGCGAAGGCAGCCCCCUGGGCUAACACUGACGCUCAUGCACGAAAGCGUGGGGAGCAAACAGGAUUAGAUACCCAAGUAGUCCCUGAGCGGGCUGGCAAGGCGCAU